Non-coding RNA from Cinara cedri, 360 nucleotides. The record is from the annotation of a GenBank genome assembly. NCBI's taxonomy places the organism in Eukaryota, Metazoa, Arthropoda, Insecta, Hemiptera, Aphididae.
CUAUCUUCCAAGACCGUAAAUCCGCAGUGGCAUAGUAAUACCGAAUAAUAUUGGUGCCGUACCACUCAUUUGUUUAGAUAAUAUUGUUAAUUAUUGAAAAUAAUUAUGUUCCAUAAUAAAUUGUUCGUUUCGUCGGUUUAAUAUUAUUUUAUUCUGUAGACUAUGGUGUCACUCCGGUAGUCCGGUGUAAACCGCAUUCACACUACACCGGGCGAGCCUCUGAUAUACGUGUUUAUAAUAGUCAUGAAUAAUUAUUAAGUAAUUUUUAUUUCGACAUAUUAACAUUGAAAAAUUCAAGUUUCAACGUCGUCGUCUCUACUUUAUACACGUCAUAUAUAUUUUUUUUUGUGAUAUUAAUCG